This 292-nucleotide ribosomal RNA is filed under the name uncultured bacterium. RNAcentral's name for it is "partial 16S ribosomal RNA". It matches the Rfam family "Bacterial small subunit ribosomal RNA", at positions 505 to 796 of the family's 1533-position model. The record is from RNAcentral.
GUGUCAGCAGCCGCGGUAAUACGUAGGGGGCAAGCGUUGUCCGGAUUUAUUGGGCGUAAAGAGCGUGUAGGCGGCCAUGCAGGUCCGUUGUGAAAACUCGAGGCUCAACCUCGAGACGCCGAUGGAAACCGCAUGGCUAGAGUCCGGAAGAGGAGAGUGGAAUUCCUGGUGUAGCGGUGAAAUGCGCAGAUAUCAGGAAGAACACCCGUGGCUAAGGCGGCUCUCUAGUACGGUACUGACGCUGAGACGCGAAAGCGUGGGGAGCGAACAGGAUUAGAAACCCGCGUAGUCC